UACAGAGGGUGCGAGCGUUAAUCGGAAUUACUGGGCGUAAAGCGUGCGUAGGCGGCUUUGCAAGUCGGGUGUGAAAUCCCCAGGCUUAACCUGGGUACUGCAUUCGAGACUGCAUUGCUAGAGUAUGGGAGAGGGAAGUGGAAUUUCCGGUGUAGCGGUGAAAUGCGUAGAUAUCGGAAGGAACAUCAGUGGCGAAAGCGACUUCCUGGACCAAUACUGACGCUCAUGUGCGAAAGCGUGGGGAGCAAACAGG
Molecule: ribosomal RNA, 253 nt
Filed under: uncultured bacterium
Lineage: Bacteria
Description: partial 16S ribosomal RNA
Rfam family: Bacterial small subunit ribosomal RNA
Source: RNAcentral